CCUACGGGAGUGCAGCAGUGAGGAAUAUUGGUCAAUGGGCGCGAGCCUGAACCAGCCAAGUCGCGUGAGGGAGGACGGCCCUACGGGUUGUAAACCUCUUUUGCCGGGGAGCAACGGGCGUCACGUGUGGCGCCACUGAGAGUACCCGGAGAAAAAGCAUCGGCUAACUCCGUGCCAGCAGCAGCGGUAAUACGGAGGAUGCGAGCGUAUCCGGAUUUAUUGGGUUAAAAGGGUGCGUAGGCGGCUCGUUAAGUCAGUGGUCAAAUUGAGGGGCUCAACCCCGUCCCGCCAUUGAGACUGGCGCGCUUGAGUGGAAGAGAGGUAUGCGGAAUGCGUGGUGUAGCGGUGAAAUGCGUAGAUAUCACGCAGAACCCCGAUUGCGAAGGCAGCAUGCCGGCUUCCGACUGACGCUGAAGCACGAAAGCGUGGGGAUCGAACAGGAUUAGAUACCCUUGUAGUC
Molecule: ribosomal RNA, 460 nt
Filed under: uncultured bacterium
Lineage: Bacteria
Description: partial 16S ribosomal RNA
Rfam family: Bacterial small subunit ribosomal RNA
Source: RNAcentral